AUCCCAGUGCACGGGCGUUUUCCUUCUCCGUGAAGCGAUAAGCUGAGAGAGGAAUUUUGCUAGUUGAAAACUACAACAAGACCACUCCUCGUUGGGUUCGCCCGGCGAGGGAAUUUUUAGACACUUUCCAUG
This 132-nucleotide small nuclear RNA is filed under the name Ophiocordyceps sinensis. RNAcentral describes it as "U4 spliceosomal RNA". It matches the Rfam family "U4 spliceosomal RNA". From Rfam's summary of the family: U4 small nuclear RNA (U4 snRNA) is a component of the major U2-dependent spliceosome. Lineage: Eukaryota; Fungi; Ascomycota; Sordariomycetes; Hypocreales; Ophiocordycipitaceae. The record is from Rfam by way of RNAcentral. RNAcentral also lists the same sequence under 1 other name.